This is a long non-coding RNA of Numida meleagris (helmeted guineafowl), 2913 nucleotides long. RefSeq lists it as uncharacterized. NCBI's taxonomy places the organism in Eukaryota, Metazoa, Chordata, Aves, Galliformes, Numididae. The transcript is spliced from 4 exons. The record is from RefSeq and is a predicted model, not a curated record.
AAACAGCUUGCUUGGCAGCGCUUGGCAGCACGUAGUUACUGAUUUACUAAUGAUUUAUGAUGUAAUGAUGUAAUCCCUAGAUACGUGGAAUGUGGUGUUUCCAGUGUGUUCUAGUAUAUUUCAGCAUAUUCAUAGUAUUCUGUAUCCAUAGUGUUGUAGUUAACAACAUAUUCUAUAUAUGGAGAUUACUCGGGCAACGAUUUGUUAGCGUGUGCGUUGCAUAGAGCUUGUAUCCCUGGACCCUGUAUCCCUGGAAGCAUAUAUGCUAUAUAAGAUGGUGUGUUGUUACAAUAAAGUUGAAGCUGCAUAACCUCACAUUGAGUGUCAGGCUUCCGCGCGCUUUGGAGGGCAACCCUGUGGGAAGCGUGGGGGAGUUUCCCAACAUUUGGCGCCCAACGUGGGGCCAAUGAGUAGCGUUUAUCGUGGUUAGAUAAGUAGGGACCCUACCGGGGAGGUGCGCGAGGUGACGGACCGCAGUGACCUCCAUUGCAUUUUUGGCAGCGGAUGGCGUUUUUGGUUUGACCGGGUUGGACCGGGGUUUGCGGUUCCAGGGGCGGAUAAAGUCGUCGGCCGACGCGGUUCCCCUCUCUUCGGCGGUCGCUGGAUUACGACGCGAGGAUGGAGCGGGAGGUUUACUGUCAGCUUUAUUACAAGCUCCAUUCUUCGUGUAUUACCAUCUUCUCUUUGAAGACAGCACUGGAAUAUGCUUCAGCAAUAAAAAUACUUCUCAGGUUGUAUCGUGACGGAGCCUUGAUGAGCUCUUGUAAUCGAAUAAGGCCUUAAAGAAAAUAGAGGAGUCAAAGAAAAGAAAAUCAUCAAAACAGGAACCUGAGUUGCUGGUAACAAAACACAAAAGCAGAAGAGGAUGACUAAUGCCUUUGCAGUCUUCUUCAAUACUUUACAAUUCCAUUUUGGAUUACUCAACCUUCACUAUGGAAGUAGAUGCAGUAAUAUUUUCCCCCAAAUGCUCUUGUUCGCAGCAGCAUGAUAGCGUAUGGUGUGGUAUGCAGAUCACUGACUGGUCUGAGACCAAUACUGAAUAAUAGGUUAACUGUCUUCAAACAACAGGAUAAAGACAGGUCUUUUAUAAAGUAGCGGUUUAUUUCAACAUUAGAAAAAAAAGGUGUGCUAACUACUGUCUUGCAUUGGAGGGUAGUCAGUAGCAGUAAAAAGGGUUACAGUUCAUAUUGUUUCCAGACCACAUAUAGUUCGCUGUAUUCACUGAACUGUCAAAAACCAGAACCUCUGCUUAGUAUUUUCAUCAGCAGGAUCAGAGCCUAAAUAAAGUGCUUUUAAAAUUUGAGAUAGCUCACUUUACUGCAUCAAAAACAAUAGUGGAAAUAACUAAUUAUUAUUUAGUUAUCAUCACAGGCCAUUGUCUAGUAUAAAAAAAUAUAUAGCAUUUUGUCUUAUUCCUAAAUAUUCUUCCUGGUUAAAACUGAAUGUCAAAGCUACCUUGACUUCACAAAAAAAAUGUGUAAUAAAUCAUGAAAGUAUACUAUAGUCUCAGUAAGAAAUUGUGAUAAGCUCCGCAAUAAAGAGAAUUUACUUUUGUUUUGGUGCGUAUCCUUUUUGCGAAUUACAUUUUUUGUUCAAUGACAUAAAACUGAGAGACUUUAACAACAUAAUACUUCAGUGAUGCUCUUUUCGUGAUGCUUUUGGACUGCAAAAUGGCCUUAGCUCUAAUCUCCAACUGAAUUAGAGAAAUAGAGAAAAAAUCUGAAAGAGAAAAUCAGAUACUUCUAUUUUAUCAUCCCUCCCUUUUUGACCCUGCAAAGGAUCCGCAUUAUCUUAAUGCUGCUGGAAUUAGCUGGAACAGGAAUUAUAGCUUAUUACAUGAGAUCUUCUCAGAUUAAGACUGUAGAUCUGGCAUAGGAAUUCAAUAUAUCGCAGAGUUUUAAACAGUCCACACAAAUGCAUCUUGCUUGAGGGAUUUAUGAAGACGAUAGAAAGAGCAACUCUCAGAGCAACAGAGCGUUAGUUCAGCUCUUGGUUAGCUGGGUAGAUUUCCCUGAGGUCAACCUUGCUAUGCAGUUAAUUUAAGAAAUUUUUUUGUCACUCACAUGUCUGUGUUACAGAUGCAACAUUUUGCAUUUCAUCAUGAACUUUUGGUAACACUCCUAGAACACACAUACACAUUGUUCAAACUGAGACAAUUGUUACCUACAGCUAAAUAAUCUAUGAAAUUUCUAUUUUCCAUGAAACAUUUCUGUAGGAUCUCCAUUAACAGCAAGUACUGUGAAGAAAUAAACCCAGAAAUUCGGUAUGUGCUGAUAAUCUUCUUACAAAAAUAUAAUGUGAAACACGAUAACAUUUUUUCUACUUAACAGUAUGCCAAUAUUUAAGGUUAGAGCAAAAUAUCUUAGCUCAAGAGGGGAUAAAAAUAAUUCCAUAUGUUCCAGAUUAUUUUUAAUAUCUUACUUGAUACAGUCAAUUGGAAACUUUUCAACAAUAAUAAUUUUGACAUAUUACAUUAUAUCUGGUGUGUCUAAUUUUAGGUUUGUCCUGCUUUGCUUACUUCAUAUUUUUUUCUGUUCUGCCUUGAAAAGAAAAUAAAAGUCAACACUAAAGAAAGACAGAAACAUCACUGCACUUGUUGACAAUCUUUAGCAGAGAUGCUGAAGGCAGAACAGAUAUGACUAGACCUGGUCUCAUGAAUAAAUCUCAUCCACGCUUGCUAAGACAAAAAGAAGUAAUAGGUAGAAUAUAGAUGACCUCCACAUAAAUGGCAGAUAUGAGCCUACAUGAUUGUGAAAACAGUACCUUUAGAAACUAUAACUUGAAUAAAACUUGCCACACUUACCUCAAAUGCUAUCUUGGUAUUUAGAGAAUCAAUGUAUUUAAUGGAAACCGAAAUGGAUUUGAUGCUUGACUUCUAAAUGCCUCAACUAAAUAAACAUGAGCCAUCUUGAA